UAAGCAAGCACAUCAACUACCAUGUUUGAUGUGGGAUUGGGAGUGGAUUAAUAAUGUAAUUUCUGAUAAAUAAUCUGUGUUCUUCUGUACUUGUGGGUGUGGAGUGAACAAACAAAAGUGUCCGUGAGUGUCUUUAUCUUUUGUGUCUUCUUCAUUGUUAUGUAUUGGCCAUGUCUGUGGCCUCAGGUGUGGUUUUAAUGAAGUCUUAUAAUUAGUGUAGUACUCUGCUUCUCUCAUCUUUCUAAUCAUUUACUUCACAACUAUAUUGUCUCCAUGGCUAAAGUAGACCUAGACUACCAGAGCAAGAAUAUUGCUGAACUUCAUUAAUCUAGAGUUCACAGCCUAUCAAGCGCGGUAUGCUCUGUGAUCAAAUGGCAUAAAAUUUGAUGCAUGAAAGCAUAGCUUCCCCACAGCGAAUUACAAUCGGAUAGCGUUACAAUAAUUAGGCAAGUUAAUUUGAGAUCGUUAUUGCUUAAGAAAUCAGUUUUUUUCCCAGUCCACAAUCUUGCAAUCAACUCUUCUUCGUUGGGAUCGUGUCAAGAUUUUUCUUUCCUUCUAUUUUCUGCUAAUGCACACAACACUUGAAGAUUCCACAAGUAACAUGUCACGCGCCAAUCAGAAGUCAUAAAAGAUAAACCCAAAAGCAAAAGAAAGUUAAAUUGGAAGAAUCUAAUCUGAGAUCUCUGAACUCGAAGAGAAACGGCAUGGCCAGCAAUAUGUUCAAGUGAUUGCGAAAGAGAAUACUCAAAAGGAUGACAAGAAAGUAGGUAACCUGGCCAGCAAUUGUUUGAUCAUACAACUAGCAAGGCAUGCAAUGAUUAGUGGUCGUAAAAGAUGAACAGAAGAAAUCAGGGAAAGGGUAACUGUCUGAAGACCUUUAGAUCAAUUUAUAGUAGCGUGUAGAAUAAUUAUCCAUCCUUGGUUGCUUGCUUUUCAGCCAUUAGAUCUCCGCAUGAUAAACUGUCAAUAACCAUCGUAAGAAAAGCUGAGAACAAUAUCUAACACCAUUGAUUAAGGAAUAUGAAGAAGGAAUCAUAAAUGAAUGGAAGACUUCAAUGGCAUCUUAAGGAAUGGAAUACAUUGGAGAAACGAACUUUAGUCUACCUGUUAAAUCACAUGUACAGACAAGAAUAAAGCAUCGACAAAGAGAUGAGACAAACACAGUAUCAAGGCCUCAUUCAUGCAUUUUGGCCAUUUUCAAUUGUUAGUGGAGUUCCAAGAAAAAAUGAUUGCAGAGAUGAAAAAGUCAAGCAAAGUUGCGGUUUUUAGCUUUAUUCCUCGUGUCUGUUCUAUGCUCGAAGUGAUAUUCAUUUGCCAAAUGUUGAAGUCCUCACUGGACAAUGAGUCUUAACCUAUUUCACACAAACAGCUUCACCAUUCUCCAAAAUGCUGUCGUGUUUUAGUUUCUUAGUUUCAGGGCAAGCCAGCAGUUCCUCUUUUGCUUUGAUUACAGCAAAUUCAAAGCAAAAUCAUUGAAUCCUGCUUUCAUACUCAGAAACAAGACACCGUUGUGUUGGAGACACGGGGGAAGAAGAAAGGAAUUAAGAACAUCAAAUUCAAAACAAAAUCAUUGAAUCCCGAUUUCUUUCUCACAGUUUUAAAUCAUUUACCAUGCAUUUCAGUUUUGUUCCUUCUUUGCCAACUAGUACUGUUCUAAAUUCAAGAUUAUUCUGCGUAUCAUCUUCACCGGAACUCGUCAAUUUUUUUCUUCAUGAGCUCUCUGGUACGACGGCAUCAGCUUAUUUGAGAUCAAUACAACUCUUAUCCUAAUUUGUUCCACGACAUGGUAAUUAGGGGUGAGCAAGAAAACCACCACUGAAAGAAAAACAGUAUAAAUAUAAACUUUUCUUCUAACUCUAAAGGCCAAGUCAAACCCAGCGGCCCCCCUCCUCCAGGUUUUCUCUCUAUCUCAGUUCUCACAUCUCCCCUUCUCUGGUUUCUUGUCUUCUCCAGUUUUAAGGUUCAAAGUCUCGAGAAAAAACAAAGGUAUCUAGCAAUCUUUAAAGGUAUAUCUUUCUUUAUUUUGCUCAAUUCCAUUCCUAAAUCUCCAUUUCCCGUUUGGCCAAUCUCAUGGGAACUAUUUGCUUAAAGCUCUGAAACCUAUCAAAUUGAAGCUAUCAAGCUCUUCUUCCAUUGCCAUCCACUCUGCUGGAGCAAUAGAGUCUGUUAAAAAAGCAUAUGAUGCAUUAUUGUUGGAUGCUGGUGGAACACUUCUGCAAUUGACAAAGCCUAUUGAAGAAACUUACGCUUCCAUCGGGAGAAAAUAUGUUUUUUUUUCCUUUCUUUUUAUGCUAUUACUCCUAUUAUUUACGUUCGGAAUAAUAUGCUAUUUCUGGAUUAGAAUGAAGUGAUUCGCAGCAGGGGAUUUAACACAA
Molecule: long non-coding RNA, 2375 nt
Organism: Populus nigra (black poplar)
Lineage: Eukaryota; Viridiplantae; Streptophyta; Magnoliopsida; Malpighiales; Salicaceae
Exons: 2
Source: RefSeq, a predicted model, not a curated record